Long non-coding RNA from Oncorhynchus tshawytscha (Chinook salmon), 561 nucleotides. RefSeq lists it as uncharacterized. Lineage: Eukaryota; Metazoa; Chordata; Actinopteri; Salmoniformes; Salmonidae. The transcript is spliced from 2 exons. The record is from RefSeq and is a predicted model, not a curated record.
UGCACAGGUCCGCUACUAAUUAGAAGGAUAGAUAGCAGCCCGUGCUGUCGUGAUACCUUCCUCCACCCAACUCCACCCGACACCUACUGUAUUCCACCUGUUUGAAUCGAACUUGAAUGCCGCCGUCCCGAACCAUCUCCUAUACCACACACCCACAAACCAUGUAUCGUCGAUGGGACAUGUGUGCGCGGAAUGGCUCGCUAAAAUCCAGGAAGUGCAGUUCCAGAAGUCGAAACGCACAAAGCGGGGCUGCCCGACCGUCCCAUGCGGGACUAAAUGGAGCUAUUGGCACUGUUUCUUUCGUUUGAUGGAUAUGGACAUGAAGAAUUCAUGUGUGCUUUUCCCCCCACGUUUUCUUUGACCCAUUGUAACGAAAACCUAUUUCGUAUGAAAUGCAGGGGUUUGAGCCAGCACAUGAUUGGUAGGCUACAUUGUAAAAUAUGAGCUAUAAUUUCAAUCAAAUUUGAAUUUAUAUUUUAUAUUUUCACUACCCAGAUUGUCAUAACUGGAUAACCUAUUGUAUUGGUAUAAUAAUAAUAAAAAAUACUAUGUAUAACGGAA